This is a long non-coding RNA of Neofelis nebulosa (Clouded leopard), 344 nucleotides long. RefSeq lists it as uncharacterized. The transcript has 2 exons. The record is from RefSeq and is a predicted model, not a curated record. Lineage: Eukaryota; Metazoa; Chordata; Mammalia; Carnivora; Felidae.
AAACUAAUAGCCCGUCUUCCUCCGUUUCCAAGCCUCCUGCAAGAGCCCCUGUAACCACACAGAAAAGUAUCCAGGGCAGGAGAGGAGGCACUCCGAGGGCAGGACGGAGGUUCUGAGUUGGCCAGAGUCUCCGUGUGUUAGACUUGCUGUGGAAUCCCCUGUGCCGACCCUACUCUCCCUGCCUGUUGAUGAAUGUGGUCUUCUAACCUACUUUCUGCUUCACCAACACCCUCUUCAGCUCUAAGCUAUUGUUGUAUUUUUUCAGAUCCAGAAUUCCAAUUUGAUUCCUGACUGUAAUUUCCAAUAUCAUUACUUCUUUGAACAUAUUAAGCCUUACCAAACUG